RNAcentral lists this long non-coding RNA (2060 nucleotides) under Elaeis guineensis (African oil palm). RNAcentral describes it as "long non-coding RNA (EGUI_LNC033859)". The record is from RNAcentral. Lineage: Eukaryota; Viridiplantae; Streptophyta; Magnoliopsida; Arecales; Arecaceae.
AAACACAUGUCAAUUAUGAUGUUCAAAUUAUAUGGGCAUAGGACCCAUCUAGGGUUUUCGAUUCGGAUUCCACAUUUGACCCAGUUUUAACUUUUAAGUUAACCAUUUAUCAUUUAUUUAAGUUGAGUUGAUCAAUUCUUAGAUUAAACCUAAUUCAAUUAGGUUAACUCCAAUUCGGUCACCCAUAACUUAAACCCUAAUCAUAUUAAGUAAAUGACAAAUUUGAUUAACCAAAAUUAAACUUAGCUUCUAAUCAAAUUAGAAUAAUGAUUUUGAUUUAAUCUACAAUCAUUAAACUCUAAUUAUAUUAGAACAAUGAAUUAUAGUUAAAUCAAUCCAUUAGCAAAAAUCCUAAUUGAUAUCUGAUGCAUCCUUUUCAUGAUCAAAAAUUUUUCGACCCCAUGCAUACCUCGGGCAACAACUAAGAUGGUCGACCCACAAUGGUGAGUCUCCAAUAACAUGGUGGUCGGCCCUUGGAUCUUAAGUAAAUGCAUCAAAUACAAAAACUUUAAUCCUUGGUAAUGUACAUUCAUAUACAGCAUUCUAAGACCCCCGCACAUCACAUGCACUGGAUUUCAAUUUUAUUGAAAAAUAGAUCAUAGGAUCUAAAUUAAACUUGUCACACACAUCUAAAAAUCAUGAAAUUUCAUAUCCAAAAUUUGGUCAUGGAUUGAUAACACUUUAUCAAAAAUAAAAAUGCAUCAAAAUUAUCAAGGAAACAUCAAUCAAAAAAACUGAUUUUGACAUAGUUCAAACUGGAUCUAAUCCAUAUCACAAAAAUAAUAUGAAAUUUGACUAAAUCUAUCAAGGGUGGCUCUAAUACACUAUUGGGUUUCGGUGAUGCAGUGAAAUAUAGGUUUUAAAAUUUUUUAACAUACAUACAAUAAUGAAAACUAAGUUUAAUAAUUAAACUCAUCCAUCGAAACUCAAAAAUCCUAGGAACCCCUUGACGAUUACAAUCAAAUAACAAACAUAUGCAUAUGAGAAGAAGACCAGAAGUCAUAUUCCACCAUGAAGACUAUGAACCGAUGAUUUUGAGAUCUUCACAAGACUUCAAAGCAGAAGCUCUCCAACGAUAAUCCACACAAAAUUGAUCAGGGCCCUUCCCAACUCGUCACGGUGCUGCAGCCUUCUUCGUAAGUGUACUGCUGAUAGUCCUUCGCAAGAACUUGAUGCACCAUUACUUGUAUGCCUUCAUGACCUCUACUAAAACUACUUUAGAAACCCUUUUCCAAAGUAUCAAACCAUACUCUAAUCAGAUUUUAUGUUCAACACAUGAACAAUCUAAUUUCUAGACAAGUAUCUCAUACUUUUUAUUUUUCUUCCUCUCUUCCUUUCUAUUUUUUCUUUCUUUUCUCUUUCUAUUUUUCACUUUAAAUUUUUACCACCUCAUCCUCAUCUAAUCCCACAUCCAAAACUAUUUUUGGAUAGAUUUUAUGCCAUAUAGGGUGCCCCUCAUAUAAGGGAUGAAGGGGCGCCACACAUGACACCAAGGGGCGCCAACUCUUGGCAUCCUAACUCGUAAACAUGGUGAAAAUAAAUUUUUAACAUAGAAACCAAGCAGUCAAAGCAUGGAAUAAGAAGAGUUUCAUUUGUAGAAGGACUCGUCCUCUACCAAAAAAAAUCUGAAUACCAAAAUAUGGCAUGUGGAAAGGGAGAACGUGUGGAAUUAAAGAGUCCAUGACAAGGUGGACUCUUCCACAUCCAACGCACAAAAUAAAUGACUUUAAUUUAUUUUAUGGUGUUCAAACUCCUUGUCAGAGAAGGAAACUUCCUUCUCUUUUGUGCCUAUAAUCUCAAGAGCUAUCUUAUGACACAAUGAAUUAAUAAACGCAUGGAGAAUAAAAGGAAGAAUGAAGAGUUUUAAAUGAAUUGGACUCUUCCAAUUCAAUUGCCAAAUAAUGGGGUGUCCCACAUUAAUUUUGGCAUGGAGUUCCUUCCAAGAGGACUCCACAUCCUCUUCCACAUCCCACAUCCCAAGGCACCAUCAGAUGGUGCACAAAUUCAAGGAACGAGUGGAACAUGUAAGAAUUUUAAGAUAAGGAGAAGGACUCCUCUCC